GGGUUGUGAGGUUAAGCGACUAAGCGUACACGGUGGAUGCCCUGGCAGUCAGAGGCGAUGAAGGACGUGCUAAUCUGCGAUAAGCGUCGGUAAGGUGAUAUGAACCGUUAUAACCGGCGAUUUCCGAAUGGGGAAACCCAGUGUGUUUCGACACACUAUCAUUAACUGAAUCCAUAGGUUAAUGAGGCGAACCGGGGGAACUGAAACAUCUAAGUACCCCGAGGAAAAGAAAUCAACCGAGAUUCCCCCAGUAGCGGCGAGCGAACGGGGAGCAGCCCAGAGCCUGAAUCAGUGUGUGUGUUAGUGGAAGCGUCUGGAAAGGCGCGCGAUACAGGGUGACAGCCCCGUACACAAAAAUGCACAUACUGUGAGCUCGAUGAGUAGGGCGGGACACGUGGUAUCCUGUCUGAAUAUGGGGGGACCAUCCUCCAAGGCUAAAUACUCCUGACUGACCGAUAGUGAACCAGUACCGUGAGGGAAAGGCGAAAAGAACCCCGGCGAGGGAGUGAAAAGAACCUGAAACCGUGUACGUACAAGCAGUGGGAGCCUCUUAAUGGGGUGACUGCGUACCUUUUGUAUAAUGGGUCAGCGACUUAUAUUCUGUAGCAAGGUUAACCGAAUAGGGGAGCCGAAGGGAAACCGAGUCUUAACUGGGCGUUAAGUUGCAGGGUAUAGACCCGAAACCCGGUGAUCUCAGCCAUGGGCAGGUUGAAGGUUGGGUAACACUAACUGGAGGACCGAACCGACUAAUGUUGAAAAAUUAGCGGAUGACUUGUGGCUGGGGGUGAAAGGCCAAUCAAACCGGGAGAUAGCUGGUUCUCCCCGAAAGCUAUUUAGGUAGCGCCUCGUGAAUUCAUCUCCGGGGGUAGAGCACUGUUUCGGCAAGGGGGUCAUCCCGACUUACCAACCCGAUGCAAACUGCGAAUACCGGAGAAUGUUAUCACGGGAGACACACGGCGGGUGCUAACGUCCGUCGUGAAGAGGGAAACAACCCAGACCGCCAGCUAAGGUCCCAAAGUCAUGGUUAAGUGGGAAACGAUGUGGGAAGGCCCAGACAGCCAGGAUGUUGGCUUAGAAGCAGCCAUCAUUUAAAGAAAGCGUAAUAGCUCACUGGUCGAGUCGGCCUGCGCGGAAGAUGUAACGGGGCUAAACCAUGCACCGAAGCUGCGGCAGCGACACUGUGUGUUGUUGGGUAGGGGAGCGUUCUGUAAGCCUGUGAAGGUGUACUGUGAGGUAUGCUGGAGGUAUCAGAAGUGCGAAUGCUGACAUAAGUAACGAUAAAGCGGGUGAAAAGCCCGCUCGCCGGAAGACCAAGGGUUCCUGUCCAACGUUAAUCGGGGCAGGGUGAGUCGACCCCUAAGGCGAGGCCGAAAGGCGUAGUCGAUGGGAAACAGGUUAAUAUUCCUGUACUUGGUGUUACUGCGAAGGGGGGACGGAGAAGGCUAUGUUGGCCGGGCGACGGUUGUCCCGGUUUAAGCGUGUAGGCUGGUUUUCCGUGCAAAUCCGGAAAAUCAAGGCUGAGGCGUGAUGACGAGGCACUACGGUGCUGAAGCAACAAAUGCCCUGCUUCCGUGAAAAGCCUCUAAGCAUCAGGUAACAUCAAAUCGUACCCCAAACCGACACAGGUGGUCAGGUAGAGAAUACCAAGGCGCUUGAGAGAACUCGGGUGAAGGAACUAGGCAAAAUGGUGCCGUAACUUCGGGAGAAGGCACGCUGAUAUGUAGGUGAAGUCCCUUGCGGAUGGAGCUGAAAUCAGUCGAAGAUACCAGCUGGCUGCAACUGUUUAUUAAAAACACAGCACUGUGCAAACACGAAAGUGGACGUAUACGGUGUGACGCCUGCCCGGUGCCGGAAGGUUAAUUGAUGGGGUUAGCGGUAACGCGAAGCUCUUGAUCGAAGCCCCGGUAAACGGCGGCCGUAACUAUAACGGUCCUAAGGUAGCGAAAUUCCUUGUCGGGUAAGUUCCGACCUGCACGAAUGGCGUAAUGAUGGCCAGGCUGUCUCCACCCGAGACUCAGUGAAAUUGAACUCGCUGUGAAGAUGCAGUGUACCCGCGGCAAGACGGAAAGACCCCGUGAACCUUUACUAUAGCUUGACACUGAACAUUGAGCCUUGAUGUGUAGGAUAGGUGGGAGGCUUUGAAGUGUGGACGCCAGUCUGCAUGGAGCCGGCCUUGAAAUACCACCCUUUAAUGUUUGAUGUUCUAACGUUGGCCCCUGAUCGGGGUUGCGGACAGUGUCUGGUGGGUAGUUUGACUGGGGCGGUCUCCUCCUAAAGAGUAACGGAGGAGCACGAAGGUUGGCUAAUCCUGGUCGGACAUCAGGAGGUUAGUGCAAUGGCAUAAGCCAGCUUGACUGCGAGCGUGACGGCGCGAGCAGGUGCGAAAGCAGGUCAUAGUGAUCCGGUGGUUCUGAAUGGAAGGGCCAUCGCUCAACGGAUAAAAGGUACUCCGGGGAUAACAGGCUGAUACCGCCCAAGAGUUCAUAUCGACGGCGGUGUUUGGCACCUCGAUGUCGGCUCAUCACAUCCUGGGGCUGAAGUAGGUCCCAAGGGUAUGGCUGUUCGCCAUUUAAAGUGGUACGCGAGCUGGGUUUAGAACGUCGUGAGACAGUUCGGUCCCUAUCUGCCGUGGGCGCUGGAGAACUGAGGGGGGCUGCUCCUAGUACGAGAGGACCGGAGUGGACGCAUCACUGGUGUUCGGGUUGUCAUGCCAAUGGCACUGCCCGGUAGCUAAAUGCGGAAGAGAUAAGUGCUGAAAGCAUCUAAGCACGAAACUUGCCCCGAGAUGAGUUCUCCCUGACUCCUUGAGAGUCCUGAAGGAACGUUGAAGACGACGACGUUGAUAGGCCGGGUGUGUAAGCGCAGCGAUGCGUUGAGCUAACCGGUACUAAUGAACCGUGAGGCUUAACCUUACAACGCCGAAGGUGUUU
Molecule: ribosomal RNA, 2930 nt
Filed under: Escherichia coli
Lineage: Bacteria; Pseudomonadati; Pseudomonadota; Gammaproteobacteria; Enterobacterales; Enterobacteriaceae
Description: 23S ribosomal RNA
Rfam family: Bacterial large subunit ribosomal RNA
Source: RNAcentral